RNAcentral lists this transfer RNA (32 nucleotides) under Mesembryanthemum parviflorum. Its description in RNAcentral is "partial transfer RNA-Leu". The record is from RNAcentral. Lineage: Eukaryota; Viridiplantae; Streptophyta; Magnoliopsida; Caryophyllales; Aizoaceae.
GAGGAAAAUCCGUGGACUUUAAAAAUCGUGAG